AAGUUAUUUGGCAUGCCAAGGCACGUCCCUCCCGAUGCCCGGAACAGUGUUUUCUCCUGAAGGGACAUCUGAGUGGCACACAUCCAUGACAACUGUAACAGUGUUUGACUCCAUCUUCAUGAAGUUAAAAAACAGAUCUUCGGAUCAGCUGUGAUGUCUGCAGAAUGGAUUUAGUUUCUCCCAUAAUUUAAAAAAUAUAGGGUUACAUUAGUCAGUGUUCUCCAGAAAACAGAAUCAAUACUGGUGGUGGGGGGAGAGAUUUUAAGGGAUUGGUUCAUGUGCUUCUGAAGGUUAGCAAGUCCAAAAUCUGCAAUGUGGGCUGGCACUCUGGAGACUGAGGAAUGGGCUGAUGUUGCAGUUCAAAGUCCAAAGGCUGGCCAUCUGCUGCAGAAUUCACUCUUAAGCGGCAAAACACAGAGAAAGCUGCAGACCAGUCCCCAGCCCAGGACUUAAGGGACCAAGCUCCAGAGAAGGUUAAACUUCAACCAACACAGAGUCUGAAGCAAUCUUCGUUUACAAAACAUCACAUGGAUUCAGUAGCUCGAUGAUACUGUGCUAAUCAGGCUGGAUGAGUUGGACUGGAUGAGCAAGAUGCAACUGGAGGCUUCAGUUAAGACACACAUGCUGCAGAGGGUAGGAGAUAAGCACUGUGAAGAUCGAGGGGCCUGCCACAUGGGUAAACAUUUUGGGAUUCCUGUGAUCAGGGGUAUGCUGAAACCUGCCCUCCAAAAUUAAAUGAGGGAGAUCCGCUGUUAUACAGUGGGAGCAGAUAAAUGGGUUGCAUUACCCAAGUGAUCCACAUAGGUGCUUUUGGGCACUCCUUUGCUCAUCUCUAUUGGCAAGUGGGUAAGUUCAGCAACUCCCACUGAGAAGGACAUGGUGACCAAGGGCUCAGAUCCUUUACGGAUGGUCUGCAUCACACCAGGACAUUAGCCACCAAGACAGCAGAGCUCAUAGUUAAGGGUGGGGAAAUCCAGAAUGGAUAGUCUAGGAGGUAGAUAAUGGGUAUCAGUUGCAUCCUUAUGUCCAGCUGUAGUGGCAGUCGUUUGUCCUGUUAACCAUACCAAGUUUCCUGCAGAAAGACAAGCACACUUUGAUCCUGGAAGAGCUGAAUGCAUAUAAAGAAAUAGAUUUGAGUGGUGCAAGGGGUGGACUAUGGCGGCGGAUAUAAAGAUGCCUGCCCAGAUGCGUCUUCAAUAGGGAUAUUUUUGUAGUAGGUGCUGGGAAUCAGCAGAUAGUCUCCAACUAUGUUUGCCUCAAGAACCGAGAGUCACUUGGCCCCAGGUAUACCCAUUCUGGGUUGGCCCACAUCCAGUGAUUUAUCUUGGUGGGGGUCUAAAGGCCUGAUUAUUUGGGUCCACUGCAGGACAAUCCUGACAGGUUGUAAAUGCACCAGUGCCCUCCUUGGAUUUGGCCUAGGCUCUGUGUCCGCAUUGCAGUUGAAUUUCUCCCUUUGCCCUUUCACAGGUGUUAAUCCCUAAUAAAUAUCUUGCCUCACCAUCUACUUGCAGACAAUCCAACCUGUGAUAUGCAGUUUCACUAUGAUGGCAUGGAUUUCUUUUUGUUUAUGAUGCUUGGUAUUAAUUUUUGUUCCUAGAUCUGCGGAUUCAUGGUUUUCAUUAAUUCUGGAAAAUUUUGAUAGCUAUUAUCUCUGUAAAUGUUAUCUCUUCUCAUUUAACUUUGCUUUUUCUGGGAUUCUCGUGUGAUGUAUAUUACUGCUUCUCUUUCUACCCUCUAUAUAAUUUUUCACCUUUUUCUUAUUACUUUGUGCUAAAAUUUUGGUAAUUUUUAAAAUAGACCUCUUCCAGUGCACUAUUUGUCUCUUCUUUGAACAGUAAACUGAUGCUGCAGUCUUUGAUUAAGAUUUAUGUUACAAAAUUUUAUUUUUUACUUCCAAAGUUUUCAGUUAAAAAAAUUAAAUUUGUCUAUUCAUUUCCUCAUAGUAUUUUAUCAAUUGGUUAUAGUUGUAAUUGAAUCCUUUACAAUUUUGUACAUUUUAUACAUGGCUGUUCUAUAUUCUGUAUCUAAUAGUUCCAAUAUCUAAGUCUAAAAGGGCCCAUAUCUGUUUUUGUUUUUCUUUUUUGGUUUGAUUUUUGUUUUGGUUGUUUCUGUCACCUCUUGGAGUGGCUUGCAUUUGUGUGAGUUUGUUGAUCUUUGAUUGUGCAUUCAUUACUUGAUCUUAAUUAGUGAGAGAUAAAUUGAAUAUUGGAAAAGUUUACCCCAGAUAUGAUUUGAUUCUGCUGGUGACCAGUGGGGCUCUAUACCUGAGAGCCCCUUGGUCUGUUCUCACUCUCUUCACAUAGCUAAACCACAGAGUUUUAAUUAUAGAAACUUUAUAAUAUAUUUUAAUAACUGGUAAUACUACCCCUCCCACGGAAGAUCUCAGCUAGUCCAGGAAAUGUGGAGUUUUUUUCCUCUGCCAUAGAGGGCCAUGCUAUUGCUCAACCAGUCUUAGUUAACUAGACUGGUUAACUAAGUCAACCAGAGUUAGUUAACUCUGUCCCUUCCAGCUGCCCCAGCUCUUGGCACCUCUUAUCUAAGGUGAGUUUUUGGAGCUUAGAGAAGGAUCUCUGAACACAUCCUCUAUCUCUCGUGAAAGUAGUCAUGUCUUAGAGUGUAUCCUCAAUAGGAUUUAUUGUUUUGCAGUAGGGGAGUUGCUCAGAGCAUCUAGUUAGCCAUGAUAAUAGAGAUGAUAGCUUUUACUUAAAAAAUAGAACAGGUAAGAACUUAUUAGGCUAAAUGUGUAUGACUGUGUUCAAAUUCCAUUCAUGCUCACACACGUAUUGAGCAUGACUGUAAUGAGAGGAGUUGACAUUUAUUGAAAGCUACUUGUGUGCUUUAUAUAGAUUUUCUUCCAAAAAUGUUUUAUCUUUUUAAGUAUGGAGAAUUUCAAAUAUGUGGAAAAGGAGAGAGAAUAGUAUAAUGGGCCUCUAUGUACCUAUCAUUCACCUUCAAUAAUUUCAAUAUAGCCACUCUAAUUUUAUCUAUUCUCUCAUCUCUUAUUAUUUUAAAGCAAAUUCAAGACAGCAUAUGAUUUCAACCAUAAAUAUUUAAAUAACUGUCUCUAAACAAUAAAUACUGUUUUUUUGA
RNAcentral lists this long non-coding RNA (3090 nucleotides) under Homo sapiens (human). RNAcentral's name for it is "HSALNT0308291". Lineage: Eukaryota; Metazoa; Chordata; Mammalia; Primates; Hominidae. The record is from RNAcentral.